Molecule: ribosomal RNA, 740 nt
Filed under: uncultured bacterium
Lineage: Bacteria
Description: bacterial SSU rRNA
Rfam family: Bacterial small subunit ribosomal RNA
Source: RNAcentral
AGAGUUUGAUCAUGGCUCAGAACGAACGCUGGCGGCAGGCUUAACACAUGCAAGUCGAACGCCCCGCAAGGGGAGUGGCAGACGGGUGAGUAACGCGUGGGAAUGUGCCCCAAGGUACGGAACAACAGCGGGAAACUGCUGCUAAUACCGUAUGUGACCGAGAGGUGAAAGAUUUAUCGCCUUGGGAUCAGCCCGCGUUAGAUUAGCUAGUUGGUGAGGUAAUGGCUCACCAAGGCUACGAUCUAUAGCUGGUCUGAGAGGAUGAUCAGCCACAUUGGGACUGAGACACGGCCCAAACUCCUACGGGAGGCAGCAGUGGGGAAUCUUGGACAAUGGGCGCAAGCCUGAUCCAGCCAUGCCGCGUGAGUGAUGAAGGCCCUAGGGUUGUAAAGCUCUUUCACCGAUGAAGAUAAUGACGGUAGUCGGAGAAGAAGCCCCGGCUAACUUCGUGCCAGCAGCCGCGGUAAUACGAAGGGGGCUAGCGUUGUUCGGAAUUACUGGGCGUAAAGCGCACGUAGGCGGAUAUUUAAGUCAGGGGUGAAAUCCCAGAGCUCAACUCUGGAACUGCCUUUGAUACUGGGUAUCUUGAGUAUGGAAGAGGUAAGUGGAAUUCCGAGUGUAGAGGUGAAAUUCGUAGAUAUUCGGAGGAACACCAGUGGCGAAGGCGGCUUACUGGUCCAUUACUGACGCUGAGGUGCGAAAGCGUGGGGAGCAAACAGGAUUAGAUACCCUAGUAGUCC